Long non-coding RNA from Amphimedon queenslandica, 799 nucleotides. RefSeq lists it as uncharacterized. The transcript has 2 exons. The record is from RefSeq and is a predicted model, not a curated record. NCBI's taxonomy places the organism in Eukaryota, Metazoa, Porifera, Demospongiae, Haplosclerida, Niphatidae.
AGAGAGAACUGAUGAUGAUAAUGACAGAGAAGAAGGAAAGAAGAAACAAGAGGAGGAGGAGGGGGAGGGAAUUUCUGGUCCUACAACUAAGAAACCAAGUCAUCGCUGGCCAUGGGAAUUCAUGUUGUAAUAUGUAUGACAUAUGUGUACAUGUAAUUAGUAGGUUGUGUAUUUUGUGUUAAUUAGUUUUUACGUAAACAUAUGCUUUUAAUUAAUGUAUGAUCUCAUGUUCCUAUGGCCUUAUGCCCUCUUUUGUGUAACGUACAAUGAGCUGGACAGCUCUGUCCAGCUCAUGAGGACUCACUUGUCUACUCCAUAUGGACCCUGUGUACAAUAGUGUCCUUAUUUCUUUGUUAUGUUUUUGUAUUUAAGUUCUGUAAUCUUAGAGCAGUUUUAUUCUCUUUUUGUUGUAAAAGUAUCUUAACUUGAUCUCUGCUAAUCUUACUACAUGCAGCAACUCUAGCUAAUCGCUAUUGUAGUGCUGAUUCUCAAUAAUUCACACACUCAAAACUCAAGUACAUAAAUACAGGUAUUUGUAUAAACAAGAGUAUAAAUCAUGUAUCAAUGUAUUGCAUGCAUAAAGGAUAGUUAAACUUUAUUAUUAGUUUUGUCUUAAAAGUUUAUUGCAGGCAAGCAUUGACUGAAGUUAGUGUACUGUCUGAUGUUUUACAAAUUGUUCAUAAUCAUCAUCAAUACUUGUCACUGGAUCCAGUUUAUGUUAAUAAGAAAUACACAUUACCUCCUUCAUAUCAAUACCAAAUUAAAAAGAAGGCACUUGAUGUAGCUUCCAAGAUAUUAA